GACGUAGGGCGCGAGCGUUGUCCGGAUUUAUUGGGCGUAAAGAGCGUGUAGGCGGCUUUACAGGUCCGUUGUGAAAACUCGAGGCUCAACCUCGAGACGCCGGUGGAAACCGUAAGGCUAGAGUCCGGAAGAGGAGAGUGGAAUUCCUGGUGUAGCGGUGAAAUGCGCAGAUAUCAGGAAGAACACCCGUGGCGAAGGCGGCUCUCUGGGACGGUACUGACGCUGAGACGCGAAAGCGUGGGGAGCGAACAGG
This 253-nucleotide ribosomal RNA is filed under the name uncultured bacterium. Its description in RNAcentral is "partial 16S ribosomal RNA". It matches the Rfam family "Bacterial small subunit ribosomal RNA", at positions 524 to 776 of the family's 1533-position model. The record is from RNAcentral.